AGAGUUUAGGAUUUGGUUAGGAUUUGAUUUAGGAUGAGGAUUUGAUUAGGAUUUGAUUUAGAAUUUAGGAUUUGGUUAGGUUUUGAUUUAGGAUUUAGGAUUCAUUUAGGUUUUGAUUUAGGAUUUAGGAUUUGAUUAGGAUUUGAUUAGAAUUUAAUUUAGGAUUAGGAUUUAAUUAAGAGUUGAUUUAGGAAUUAAGAUUUAUUUAGGAUUUAUUUAAAAUUUAAGAUUUAGUUAUUUUUGGCCUAAAUUUUGAUUGAGGUCCAAUAGGAUUUUAACUAGGAUUAAAUUAAGAUUGGAUUGAGAUUUAUUUGAGAUAUAUUUGUGAUCAUUCUAAUAUUUUUUUAAGAUUUUUUAUUAUUUCUUUGUAAUUCUUUUAAGAUUUAUUUGAAUUGAUUAAAGCUUGCUUAGUAUUAUUAUGGUUUAAUUAGAGUUUAAUUAGUAUUCUAUUAGAGUUACGAUUUUGUUGUUGCAAUUUCCAUUCUUUCUUCCACAGCUAGGUGCUUGGAGCAUUCUAAAGCAAGACUUCAUAUAAUAUAAUAGCGGUGGCUAUUAGCAGAUACAUAUU
Molecule: long non-coding RNA, 568 nt
Filed under: Physcomitrium patens
Lineage: Eukaryota; Viridiplantae; Streptophyta; Bryopsida; Funariales; Funariaceae
Description: long non-coding RNA (PPAT_LNC010317)
Source: RNAcentral